CGCGUAGGCGGAGAUGUAAGCCAGACGUGAAAGCCCGGAGCUCAACUCCGGAAUUGCAUUUGGAACUACAUCCCUUGAGGAUAGGCGGAGAAGACGGAAUUCCACAUGUAGCGGUGAAAUGCGUAGAUAUGUGGAGGAACACCCGUGGCGAAGGCGGUUUUCUAGCUUAUUCCUGACGCUGAGGCGCGAAAGCAGGGGGAGCAAACAGGAUUAGAUACCCUGGUAGUCC
Molecule: ribosomal RNA, 229 nt
Filed under: uncultured bacterium
Lineage: Bacteria
Description: partial 16S ribosomal RNA
Rfam family: Bacterial small subunit ribosomal RNA
Source: RNAcentral